AUUAUAAACAUGACGUCUUUUCAGUCCGUUUCAAGGAAUGGCAGAAGCUCCUUUGUUUGUAAACAAGGAGCGCUAUAUUGUGCGACAAGGACAGCAAUAGCGAUUAGUUGCACCGUUUCACCGCUACGUGGUGAUAGUGGAAUGCUUCAAAAACGGAGCAUGCUGACGCGGUGGAAGAUCGACACCGGCGAACACUGACCUCCCUCUACUACUUGAGCUGUGUCCUUGGCCUUGAAACGAGAACGUGUUUCGGGAGAUGAAAUCCAACCGCACAGGUGGAACGAUAAUUGCUCGGCCGUCAUAGCGAACGUAAGGCUUACCUUUACUUUCGCUCCGUUACGGAAUCGGAGAACUUCCACACGAACAGUAGAGUCAUCGUGUUAAGUAACGCGAGACGUCUUCUUCUCUC
RNAcentral lists this unclassified non-coding RNA (409 nucleotides) under Bombus terrestris (buff-tailed bumblebee). Its description in RNAcentral is "misc RNA ENSBTSG00005034042.1". Lineage: Eukaryota; Metazoa; Arthropoda; Insecta; Hymenoptera; Apidae. The record is from RNAcentral.